GACGGAGGGUGCAAGCGUUGUUCGGAAUUACUGGGCGUAAAGGGCUCGUAGGCUGCCAACUAAGUCGGACGUGAAAUCCCUCGGCUUAACCGGGGAACUGCGUCCGAUACUGGAUGGCUUGAGUUUGGGAGAGGGAUGCGGAAUUCCAGGUGUAGCGGUGAAAUGCGUAGAUAUCUGGAGGAACACCGGUGGCGAAGGCGGCAUCCUGGACCAACACUGACGCUGAUGAGCGAAAGCCAGGGGAGCAAACGGG
RNAcentral lists this ribosomal RNA (253 nucleotides) under uncultured bacterium. RNAcentral's name for it is "partial 16S ribosomal RNA". It matches the Rfam family "Bacterial small subunit ribosomal RNA", at positions 524 to 776 of the family's 1533-position model. The record is from RNAcentral.